UGGGGAAUUUUGGACAAUGGGGGAAACCCUGAUCCAGCCAUCCCGCGUGUGCGAUGAAGGCCUUCGGGUUGUAAAGCACUUUUGGCAGGAAAGAAACGUCAUGGGUUAAUACCCCGUGAAACUGACGGUACCUGCAGAAUAAGCACCGGCUAACUACGUGCCAGCAGCCGCGGUAAUACGUAGGGUGCAAGCGUUAAUCGGAAUUACUGGGCGUAAAGCGUGCGCAGGCGGUUCGGAAAGAAAGAUGUGAAAUCCCAGAGCUCAACUUUGGAACUGCAUUUUUAACUACCGUGCUAGAGUGUGUCAGAGGGAGGUGGAAUGCCGCGUGUAGCAGUGAAAUGCGUAGAUGUGCGGAGGAACACCGAUGGCGAAGGCAGGCUCCUGGGAUAACACUGACGCUCAUGCACGAAAGCGUGGGGAGCAAACAGG
RNAcentral lists this ribosomal RNA (429 nucleotides) under Acidobacteriota bacterium. RNAcentral's name for it is "Acidobacteria bacterium partial 16S ribosomal RNA". It matches the Rfam family "Bacterial small subunit ribosomal RNA", at positions 355 to 776 of the family's 1533-position model. The record is from RNAcentral. Lineage: Bacteria; Pseudomonadati; Acidobacteriota.